CCGGCCUGGUCGUGUCGUGCGUGCCUUCGAUUGCGCAUUUUGUUGAGCACACCAGUACACCACACCAGGCCAGUCUGCUGUUUCUUCUUCAGCGCACGCCCUGCUAGCUGCUGCAACGAAAACCUGAAGGUGAAGGUCUCGGACCCCUCGGUAGCCCUACACUGCAGCGGGGUAGGUGGCGAGGCGUGUCGCGUGUGCAGCACUGCAGCAGCAGCCUCUCCCGCGUCGGGUGAGGAGAGCACAGAGGAGGGGGUUGCUGUGCCUGUGCCCGGGCAGGUGCGCGCGGCAAUACUUUUCUUCCCCCCGUGCGCUCUCCUUUACGUUUUGUUUUUGUUGGAGGAGCCGAGGAGGAAGAGUCAGCGGUCCAAGGUAAACGCUCUGCCCCUGGCGAAUAAACGCUACGUCUAUACGCGUCCCAGCAUGUGCGGCGCGUCGGAAAGCAAACGAACAAACAACAGGGCACGCGCGUUCGGCUGACAACUACGGCUUGACGAGAUGUUCAUAGCUCGUCUGCUACUUCGGUUCGUGGUCAGUUAUAUCAGUUCGUUUGAAUUUUUUUACGAGCUGAGAUGACAUUCUAGUUCGGUUUGUUAACGAGCCAACUCGCAAGCUAAACGAGCUAAUAUGUUUCAACAAAAUAAAACUAUAUGUAUAUCAUUUAUGUAAUAAUUGAUGAACAUAUUAUAUUUAUGUAUGGUGUAUAUGUCAUAUGAGUUAAACUAA
Long non-coding RNA from Zea mays, 723 nucleotides. RefSeq lists it as uncharacterized. The record is from RefSeq and is a predicted model, not a curated record. The transcript is spliced from 2 exons. NCBI's taxonomy places the organism in Eukaryota, Viridiplantae, Streptophyta, Magnoliopsida, Poales, Poaceae.